AUGAGUUCCUGCCUUUUCCUUAGCCUACCCUCAGCCAGGCACCAUUCUCUGGGCUCUUUCAUGCUGACCCAGUCAGCUCCCUCCCACCUCCCUGCCAAGGGCUGCAGGCAUGGUCCGUGCAUGGCCCAUGGAGCUCCAGUAGAGCCAGCCCCAGGGAACGGCCCUGGCUGUUUAUCCAGAUGGUUUGCUUCCCUUUUCUUCCAAGGGCUUUGCCACAUAUGUCCAGUGCUGGUUUGGUGGGAAGAGCCAAGGCCAGCUCUUGGGACUGCUGAUGCAGGUGGGGUGACGUUGCAUGAGGUGCCUUCCCCAGCUCCCUUCACAAACGUCUUUCUGCAUAGCCACAGGCAGGCCCCUGCUGGACCAGCAGAUGGGAAGGCUCUUCUAUGUGAGCUGGUGUCCACCAGGCAAAGAAGACUGAUCCCACCACAGAGAUCUCAUGCAGUCCAUGACUCAGCCAGCAGCCCUGUGCUUGAGUCACACGUGGAGAAGCUGCAGAUGGCCCUGGCUGUGUUGAAGUUCAGCUGUGAGCCAGCACUGGGGCAAAACGCAACUUCAGCAGCAAAAUUCAAGCUGCUGGGGCUGAAAGAACAGGGCCCAAAGGUCAAGCACAUGGCAGGACAGCCACUUGGAAGGAAGGAGCUGAGAAGAAAGGUGCAAGAGAUAAGAAGAGAUGGCAGAGGUAAAGGAGACCACUGCCAGGCUGAAGACCUGGUGACAGUCUGUUGGCAGGGCAGACCCCUCUGCAGAUUGCUCUUGACUGGAAGGGUCAGAAUGAGAAAUGCUCCAGCUCCAGAUGAGGUACCCGCAGGACUGCUCAGGUCAGCAGCAAAUGUGACCUUUCAGGUCUAUCCAGAUAAUUGGAGAUAAGGCACCAAGCACUGAGAUUUGGGAAGACCAGAGAAUGUUCCAGUCCUGAAGAGGGCCAGGGAGGAGGCACAAGUGACAAGAUCAUUGAGCAAUGCCAGCCUGGAGGAGCCAGGAACAGGUUCAAAGGAACAGGCAGGUUUUGGACUGGAGGGGGCACAAGAGGUAACAUAACCAGCUUCUGUGUGGUGAGGCGAAAGGCAGGAGAGUGCUGGCUGUCUCCUCAUCAGCAUCACUGGGCAUUUGAUUCAGUAGGACGGGAGACUGCGGCUGACCGGGCUAAGGACGGAGGUUCAGACCCUCCAGUGGACAAGCUCUGCUGCUGACAACUGCUUUAGAGGAAGCCCUAAGAUGAAUGGUAACUCAGUCAAUAAUGUAAGAGUGCAGAUCAUAUAACGCUGAUUGCCUCAGAAAUAUAGAAUCAUUUGAGAGCAAAGAGCCCUCGGAAGGUCUCCAGUCCAACCCUCUGCUCGGAACCAGGCCACCUCCCACCCUCAGGAGGGUUGCCCAAGGCCCCAUCCAGUUUCCAAGGGUGGAGACCCCUCUGCUCCUCUGGGCCCUGCUCCAGGGCUGCACCAUUCUCAUAGUGAAAGGGGUUUUUCCUUAGGGCUUUCCUGGAUAUCUCUUGCUGCAGCUUUUGGCCACUGCCUCUUCCCUGUGCAUCUCUGGGAAGAGUCAAGCUCUACCUUCAUUUAAACUCCCCCACCCCUCUGAGUAGUUUUAGAGAGCAAUUAGAUCCCCAUCUAUUACUUCUUCAGGUUAAAUAAAUGCUGGUCCCUGAGCAGCUCCUCACAUGCCACAUGCUCCAGCCCCCGAUGAUCU
This 1686-nucleotide long non-coding RNA is filed under the name Amazona collaria (yellow-billed parrot). Its description in RNAcentral is "lncRNA (ENSACOG00000012524.1)". The record is from RNAcentral. Lineage: Eukaryota; Metazoa; Chordata; Aves; Psittaciformes; Psittacidae.